Molecule: non-coding RNA, 97 nt
Organism: Gossypium arboreum
Lineage: Eukaryota; Viridiplantae; Streptophyta; Magnoliopsida; Malvales; Malvaceae
Source: Rfam
AAUGGACAGGACAAAGGGUCAUGAUCCCGUGAGGGUGAGCUAACUCUAAAAACCUGUCCUCAGUUCGGAUUGCAGGUUGCAACUCGCCUGCAUGAAG